This 96-nucleotide transfer RNA is filed under the name Limnoglobus roseus. Its description in RNAcentral is "tRNA-Tyr". The record is from RNAcentral. Lineage: Bacteria; Pseudomonadati; Planctomycetota; Planctomycetia; Gemmatales; Gemmataceae.
GGUUUUUGCCGCCGGCCGGUUCGAUGCGUCGUUGUAGGCGACCCCAAAGUUGAACUUGCUGUAGACGGUGUCGAGUUCGAUGCCCGUUAGAAGUUG